GAUGAAUGCUGGCGGCGUGCCUAAUACAUGCAAGUCGAGCGAACAGACGAGGAGCUUGCUCCUCUGACGUUAGCGGCGGACGGGUGAGUAACACGUGGAUAACCUACCUAUAAGACUGGGAUAACUUCGGGAAACCGGAGCUAAUACCGGAUAAUAUAUUGAACCGCAUGGUUCAAUAGUGAAAGACGGUUUUGCUGUCACUUAUAGAUGGAUCCGCGCCGCAUUAGCUAGUUGGUAAGGUAACGGCUUACCAAGGCAACGAUGCGUAGCCGACCUGAGAGGGUGAUCGGCCACACUGGAACUGAGACACGGUCCAGACUCCUACGGGAGGCAGCAGUAGGGAAUCUUCCGCAAUGGGCGGAAGCCUGACGGAGCAACGCCGCGUGAGUGAUGAAGGUCUUCGGAUCGUAAAACUCUGUUAUUAGGGAAGAACAAAUGUGUAAGUAACGAUGCACGUCUUGACGGUACCUAAUCAGAAAGCCACGGCUAACUACGU
This 496-nucleotide ribosomal RNA is filed under the name uncultured bacterium. RNAcentral's name for it is "partial 16S ribosomal RNA". It matches the Rfam family "Bacterial small subunit ribosomal RNA", at positions 28 to 506 of the family's 1533-position model. The record is from RNAcentral.